AUUGAACGCUGGCGGCAUGCCUUACACAUGCAAGUCGAACGGCAGCACGGGAGCAAUCCUGGUGGCGAGUGGCGAACGGGUGAGUAAUAUAUCGGAACGUGCCCAGUCGUGGGGAUAACGUAGCGAAAGCUACGCUAAUACCGCAUACGAUCUAUGGAUGAAAGCGGGGGAUCGCAAGACCUCGCGCGAUUGGAGCGGCCGAUAUCAGAUUAGGUAGUUGGUGAGGUAAAGGCUCACCAAGCCGACGAUCUGUAGCUGGUCUGAGAGGACGACCAGCCACACUGGGACUGAGACACGGCCCAGACUCCUACGGGAGGGCAGCAGUGGGGGAAUUUUGGACAAUGGNGCAAGCUGAUCCAGCAAUGCCGCGUGCAGGAUGAAGGCC
Molecule: ribosomal RNA, 385 nt
Filed under: uncultured bacterium
Lineage: Bacteria
Description: bacterial SSU rRNA
Rfam family: Bacterial small subunit ribosomal RNA
Source: RNAcentral